RNAcentral lists this ribosomal RNA (274 nucleotides) under uncultured bacterium. Its description in RNAcentral is "partial 16S ribosomal RNA". It matches the Rfam family "Bacterial small subunit ribosomal RNA", at positions 523 to 796 of the family's 1533-position model. The record is from RNAcentral.
AUACGGAGGGGGCUAGCGUUGUUCGGAAUUACUGGGCGUAAAGCGCGCGUAGGCGGAUCGUUAAGUCAGGGGUGAAAGCCCGGAGCUCAACUCCGGAACUGCCCUUGAUACUGGAGAUCUCGAGUCCGGGAGAGGUGAGCGGAAUUCCUAGUGUAGAGGUGAAAUUCGUAGAUAUUAGGAGGAACACCAGUGGCGAAGGCGGCUCACUGGCCCGGUACUGACGCUGAGGUGCGAAAGCGUGGGGAGCAAACAGGAUUAGAAACCCUAGUAGUCC